GGGGAAUUGUUCGCAAUGGGCGAAAGCCUGACGACGCAACGCCGCGUGGAGGAUGAAGAAUUUCGGUUCGUAAACUCCUGUCGAGCGGGACGAAAGAUGCGCGGGUUAAUACCCCGCGCAAGUGACGGUACCGCUAAAGGAAGCCCCGGCUAACUCCGUGCCAGCAGCCGCGGUAAUACGGGGGGGGCAAGCGUUGUUCGGAAUUACUGGGCGUAAAGGGCUCGUAGGCGGCCAACUAAGUCACACGUGAAAUCCCUCGGCUCAACCGGGGAACUGCGUGUGAGACUGGAUGGCUUGAGUGUGGGAGAGGAAUGCGGAAUUCCAGGUGUAGCGGUGAAAUGCGUAGAUAUCUGGAGGAACACCGGUGGCGAAGGCGGCAUUCUGGACCAUUACUGACGCUGAGGAGCGAAAGCCAGGGGAGCAA
Molecule: ribosomal RNA, 424 nt
Filed under: uncultured bacterium
Lineage: Bacteria
Description: bacterial SSU rRNA
Rfam family: Bacterial small subunit ribosomal RNA
Source: RNAcentral